AGCUGUACGUAAGCGUUGAUCCAGAGAUUUCCGAAUGGGGGAACCCACUAUCUUUAGUCGGAUAGUAUCCUUACGUGAAUACAUAGCGUGAGGAAGGCAGACCCAGGGAACUGAAACAUCUAAGUACCUGGAGGAAGAGAAAGAAAAAUCGAUUUCCUGAGUAGCGGCGAGCGAAACGGAAAGAGCCCAAACCAAGAAGCUUGCUUCUUGGGGUUGUAGGACACUCUAUACGGAGUUACAAAAGAAAGUUAUAAAUGAAGCGGUCUGGAAAGGCCCGCCAAAGACGGUAACAGCCCGGUAGUUGAAAUGGCUUUCCCUCCAGAGUGGAUCCUGAGUACGGCGGAACACGUGAAAUUCCGUCGGAAUCCGGGAGGACCAUCUCCCAAGGCUAAAUACUCCCUAGUGACCGAUAGUGAACCAGUACCGUGAGGGAAAGGUGAAAAGCACCCCGGAAGGGGAGUGAAACAGUUCCUGAAACCGUGU
Molecule: ribosomal RNA, 483 nt
Filed under: Listeria monocytogenes
Lineage: Bacteria; Bacillati; Bacillota; Bacilli; Caryophanales; Listeriaceae
Description: partial 23S ribosomal RNA
Rfam family: Bacterial large subunit ribosomal RNA
Source: RNAcentral